Molecule: transfer RNA, 64 nt
Filed under: Cavia porcellus (domestic guinea pig)
Lineage: Eukaryota; Metazoa; Chordata; Mammalia; Rodentia; Caviidae
Rfam family: tRNA
About the family: Transfer RNA (tRNA) molecules are approximately 80 nucleotides in length. Their secondary structure includes four short double-helical elements and three loops (D, anti-codon, and T loops). Further hydrogen bonds mediate the characteristic L-shaped molecular structure. tRNAs have two regions of fundamental functional importance: the anti-codon, which is responsible for specific mRNA codon recognition, and the 3' end, to which the tRNAs corresponding amino acid is attached (by aminoacyl-tRNA synthetases). tRNAs cope with the degeneracy of the genetic code in two manners: having more than one tRNA (with a specific anti-codon) for a particular amino acid; and 'wobble' base-pairing, i.e. permitting non-standard base-pairing at the 3rd anti-codon position.
Source: Rfam by way of RNAcentral
GGGGAUUCAGCUCAGCGGCAAAAGCACUUGCCUUGCAAGCAGGCAGUUGUGAGUUCAAUCCCCA